RNAcentral lists this ribosomal RNA (490 nucleotides) under uncultured bacterium. RNAcentral's name for it is "partial 16S ribosomal RNA". It matches the Rfam family "Bacterial small subunit ribosomal RNA", at positions 30 to 507 of the family's 1533-position model. The record is from RNAcentral.
AUUGAACGCUGGCGGCAUGCCUUACACAUGCAAGUCGAACGGCAGCAUGAUCUAGCUUGCUAGAUUGAUGGCGAGUGGCGAACGGGUGAGUAAUACAUCGGAACGUGCCCUGUAGGGGGGGAUAACUAGUCGAAAGAUUAGCUAAUACCGCAUACGACCUGAGGGUGAAAGUGGGGGACCGCAAGGCCUCAUGCUAUAGGAGCGGCCGAUGUCUGAUUAGCUAGUUGGUGAGGUAAAGGCUCACCAAGGCGACGAUCAGUAGCUGGUCUGAGAGGACGAUCACCCACCCUGGGACUGGGACACGGCCCAGACUCCUACGGGAGGCAGCAGUGGGGAAUUUUGGACAUUGGGCGAAAGCCUGCUCCAGCAAUGCCGCGUGUGUGAAGAAGGCCUUCGGGUUGUAAAGCACUUUUGUCCGGAAAGAAAUGGCUCUGGUUAAUACCUGGGGUCGAUGACGGUACCGGAAGAAUAAGGACCGGCUAACUACGUG